AGCUUAACAAAAUUUAUUAUUGUGACCUUUAUUCUGGUUUGAAAUAAUUUAUAUAUAUAACAGGAUUACUUAACUAUGCAAAAGAGAGAAACCCACUGCACAAAGCAUCCCACACUAUUAGGGUCUAGGGAAGGGCCGCACGGCAAGGGGUGUGAUGUUCAAAUGAAAAUGAUGGAAAAAAAUGUUUACUAUCUAAUGGAAUUUAUGGUCUCAAAUGUCAUUAGAAUGUUGUUAUUAUCUGCAGACUGCAUCUUUAUUGCACAUAGAUGCUUGUUGUUGUCAACUACAGGCUACUAUGCUACUAAAGCUGCUACUUAGCUUGCUGUUGUUGGAGUGAACUUUUAAAAGAAUUAAUAUCUCCAUGUUCCUUUGAAGGAAGCUACAUCAACUACCAAUAUCAGGUUAUGAAGGUGGUCCUAUCAUUUUGUUGUAGGUUAUAAAGGUUCUUAUCCUGAAUCACUACUUAGAAUAUCAGUAUCUGUAAGUUUGAUAAUUGCAUUUUAUUAGUUUGACAAAUAGGAAUUAUGUGGCAAGACUGCUUGAAAUCAUUGACAUGAAUGAGUUGCUUCAUUGAACGAGUUGCAUAAAACUAGUAUUUAGAAGUUUUAUACAAAUAUGAAGACAUAUUUCUUGAGUUUCUUUUGUAAAAGUUAAUCUAGUGUAGAAACUGAUCAAUUUGUAUAUCACUUUAAAAUUUGUAAAAAUGUAACUCUUUGUCAUGUAGAACAAAUACAGUCAAUUGAAUUUUCAAGUUAACCAUGAACGAAAAGUAACAUUUCUUUGGUUGCAUUUCCGGAGUUUUGAGUUCGGUGUUAGUAUACUUUCUACCAUAUUUAGAUAAUCACAUCACCUGUGAUGUUGAAUUCUUGUUCUUUAUUAUACUCUUAUUAAUAGGUUGUUCUUUCCUUUUGUCUGCAUAAUCAUUUAGCUUUUGAGUUUGUCAAACAUAUUGUACAUAUACUAGAGCUCCAAUCAAAUUUGGUGGACAGCUAAGUUUCAGACUUUUGUUUGUUUUCGUUAACCUUGAAUAGGAUCUGACUCAUGCUUCCCCCCUCUCAAAGUUGUUUUCCCUUUCACUAUUUUUCAUUUUAUGGAAUGAAAAUUGGUAAGUAGGAGGUAAAAGUUAGUUAUAUCCUUUUCUUCUCCUACUCUUGGGUAAGUUUCCUAUUGAACAUUCCUCUGAAUGCGUCUAAUUAGUUCUCCUAUGUGGUUGUUCCAAAUAUUAUUUUUCUAAAAGUUUCAUUUUGCCUCUGGAGAUUGUUUUCGUACCUGGCUUUUGACAAAGGUAAGCUAUUUAUCUUUUAUAAUGGGAUACUCUUUUAUUUUUAAGAAUGCUCUUAAGUUUUGUAUCUAACUCUUGCUGUGUAUAUUACUUAUAAAUUCUUCUUGCUGUUUUAUUCUAUACAGGACCUUGUUUGGAUUUUGAAGAAUAUUGUUGAAGAGGCUACUCUCUAUGUUUUCUAGUUUGUAGCUUUAUUUACCUAUUAAGGGCAUAUCAUACUCAUUCUUCUCAAGCGGUUGUGGCCAUGCUGUUUUGUUGAACCAUGUCAAUCUUUACUCUGAAUUAGGAUUAAACAAAUGUAGAAAUUAGGGAAAGCUUAGAGAAGUCCACUGCCGAUGAAGUCUAAAAUGUAGAAAUGUAGCAAUUGUCUAAUUUUCAUGGAAAUUAAAGUCUGAUAUUUCUGGGAAAAUUUUUAGCUCUGCAAAAGAUAGAUAAUAGACAGAAAUGACCUUAUCGAGCUUCUUCCUUAUGUUGAUAAGCUUUAUUAAGAAGGUUCUUGAAGUUCAAGGACUUCAUGCUUUUCCUUGUCUAUAACAAGGGUGUUAUCUGUUUGUCUGUAGAGAUAACAUGCUAUCUGAACUUACUGUGAAUCUAUUUGAUAUUUUAUUUUUUGAACUUGCAGUAACUUGAACAAUCAUGAAUCUACAAGGGUGUUCAAGAAAUCAUCAGAAAGUUAAAGAACUUUGUUUCAGCUGGAUCACAUGCAACUUUACGGAAAAAACAGAUGCUAGAACAUAAGAAGAAGAAUACAGGCUACAUAGAAUUUCUUGAAACUUAUCACGACUAGAACUUGAUAGUAUGUAAAAACUUAACUAAUUAUUUGAGUACUUAAAAUACAUUUUGCUUGAGUUUAGAUUACUA
Long non-coding RNA from Capsicum annuum, 2143 nucleotides. RefSeq lists it as uncharacterized. Lineage: Eukaryota; Viridiplantae; Streptophyta; Magnoliopsida; Solanales; Solanaceae. The record is from RefSeq and is a predicted model, not a curated record. The transcript is spliced from 2 exons.